GAUGAACGCUGGCGGCAUGCCUAACACAUGCAAGUCGGACGGGAAGUGGUGUUUCCUGUGGCGGUCGGGUUAGUAACGCGUAAGAACCUGACCUGUGGAGGGGCAAACCAGCUGGAAACGGUUACUAAUACACCGUAGGGCUAGUAGCAGAAAGAGGAAUCCACCCGAGGGGGGGCUCGCGUCUGACUAGCUAGUUGUUGAGUCAAUAGCUUACCACGGCGAGUAACAGUAGCGGCUCCGAGAGGAAGACCCGCCACACUGCGACGGAGACACGGAGCAGACUCCCUCCGGAGGCAGCAGUGGGCAAGUUGCCGCAAUGCGCGAAAGGUUGAGAGAGCAUUGCCGCGGGGAAGCAGAGGGCCUACGGGUCAUGAACUUCUUAUCUCGGUGAAGACGCAAUGACGGUACCUAGUGAAUAAGCAACGGCUAACUCCGUG
RNAcentral lists this ribosomal RNA (437 nucleotides) under uncultured bacterium. Its description in RNAcentral is "partial 16S ribosomal RNA". It matches the Rfam family "Bacterial small subunit ribosomal RNA", at positions 28 to 507 of the family's 1533-position model. The record is from RNAcentral.